Molecule: long non-coding RNA, 740 nt
Organism: Clupea harengus (Atlantic herring)
Lineage: Eukaryota; Metazoa; Chordata; Actinopteri; Clupeiformes; Clupeidae
Source: Ensembl
CACACACACACACCUCCUGUGCUCUUGUGUCCUUUGUGCCACUGUACUCUAUGCCCCUCACUGCACACACCCACAAACACACACACACACACACACUCACACUCACACACACACACAACUCUUCUCCUCUUCUGACAGCUUUGAGAAGGAGUCAGACCCCACACAGAUCUCUGGGGAGCCUCAGCAUCCUCCCCUCCACUGUCCCCACACGUGUGUGUGUGUGUGUGUGUGUGUGAGCCUCAGCAUCCUCCCCUCCACUGUCCUCACACGUGGCACAUUUACAGUGUUUACAGCAUUCUCAACUCAGAAGGAAUACAAUCAACAACUACAAUAUUUUUCUUUUUUCUUUUUUUUGUCCAUAUAUUUGUCUCCCCACAUCCAUUCUUUCAUUUGAAUCUUCUCCAUUUGUAGUGUCACAUGGAAAGAGCUGGGGCCUCACAGAAGGCAGGGGCUGGGGCCUCACUGAAGGCAGGGGCUGGGGCCUCACAAGAGGCAGGGGCAGGGGCCUCACAAGAGGCAGGGGCUGGGGGGUCUCGGUUCGUCCAGGAGGAUCAGGUUAUCGGGGUGCCUCCUGCUGACCUCUGACCUGCAAGCGUCCGUUGGAGAUGGGGGGCAGCCAGCCCCAAAUUUCCGCUGCUCUGAGGGGGACGCCCCAACACCAGGUUCAUCUGACACCAUACUAUCAUCUAGGGGGGGUACCAACACAGUUAACACACACACACACACACACACACACACAC